RNAcentral lists this ribosomal RNA (495 nucleotides) under uncultured bacterium. RNAcentral describes it as "partial 16S ribosomal RNA". It matches the Rfam family "Bacterial small subunit ribosomal RNA", at positions 28 to 507 of the family's 1533-position model. The record is from RNAcentral.
GACGAACGCUGGCGGCGUGCCUAAUACAUGCGAGUCGAACGCUGAAGGAGGAGCUUGCUUCUCUGGAUGAGUUGCGAACGGGUGAGUAACGCGUAGGUAACCUGCCUGGUAGCGGGGGAUAACUAUUGGAAACGAUAGCUAAUACCGCAUAAGAGUAGAUGUUGCAUGACAUUUGCUUAAAAGGUGCAAUUGCAUCACUACCAGAUGGACCUGCGUUGUAUUAGCUAGUUGGUGGGGUAACGGCUUACCAAGGCGACGAUACAUAGCCGACCUGAGAGGGUGAUCGGCCACACUGGGACUGAGACACGGCCCAGACUCCUACGGGAGGCAGCAGUAGGGAAUCUUCGGCAAGGGACGGAAGUCUGACCGAGCAACGCCGCGUGAGUGAAGAAGGUUGUCGGAUCGUAAAGCUCUGUUGUAAGAGAAGAACGAGUGUGAGAGUGGAAAGUUCACACUGUGACGGUAUCUUACCAGAAAGGGACGGCUAACUACGUG